GGGGAUUUAGCUCAGCAGCAUAAGCGCCUGCCUUGCAAGCAGGCAGUUGUGGUUUCAAUCCCUG
This 64-nucleotide transfer RNA is filed under the name Cavia porcellus (domestic guinea pig). It matches the Rfam family "tRNA". From Rfam's summary of the family: Transfer RNA (tRNA) molecules are approximately 80 nucleotides in length. Their secondary structure includes four short double-helical elements and three loops (D, anti-codon, and T loops). Lineage: Eukaryota; Metazoa; Chordata; Mammalia; Rodentia; Caviidae. The record is from Rfam by way of RNAcentral.